GCCACGCUGCCAAGCCCAGGGCUCGGACCAGCUCAGAGCCACCUUCAAGUGACACCAUGCACCUGUACGUGCUCCUGGCUUGUGUGCUGUGGGGGUUAGAAAGCCAUUCCGUCCCAAUGAAGAUUUCACCUGCAUCUUCCCAGAAAAAUUACACAGAAAUCUGUGAUGAGAUUCAGAAAGAACUUUCAGCCGACCACGCUAUGUACAAGGGUGCCUACAACAGUCCCCAGAAUACCAGUGAGGAGCCCUGCUAUGGGGAGUUCACAAAGAAUUUCAUCUCCACCUUGAAGAAUCUGUCUGAACGUAACAGCAACGAGCACAUAAAUAAAAUUUAUAAGGACAUGAAAGAACUCAUCCACAUCUGCUCAAAGCUCAAACCAACAAAAUUGCCCAAGAACUGUAUUAUUGAGCAAAGUAAUUUCUCACGGUUCAAGGAAGCCUUACGGAGUGUGGUCAUAUCCAUAGAAGGAUGGACUUCAUGUGAUAAGAUCAAGGGCAGCCUCUGGGACCCAGCCCUCUCACAGGAGCCUCGUGCACAUGGUUAGAGGUGCAGAAAAUGGGAUUGGAGGAGCCUCAAAAAAAAUUUACUGUCAGGUUGGGGUGGCAGUUUGCUGGGGCUGAGUCAGCAGAUGAGGCCAUGAGUGGACAAUGGGGGGUUGCGGGGGGUGGGGGGAGUCUGAGGAAACUUUUGUAACUGAAACAUCAGCUCCUGUUACUUCAAUAAAGCCCGGGGUAUGGUAACACCGAGUGAAGUUGUGGAGUCCACCCAUGUUGCGG
This 777-nucleotide long non-coding RNA is filed under the name Dasypus novemcinctus (nine-banded armadillo). Its description in RNAcentral is "lncRNA (ENSDNOG00000051662.1)". Lineage: Eukaryota; Metazoa; Chordata; Mammalia; Cingulata; Dasypodidae. The record is from RNAcentral.